Molecule: transfer RNA, 76 nt
Filed under: Serratia symbiotica
Lineage: Bacteria; Pseudomonadati; Pseudomonadota; Gammaproteobacteria; Enterobacterales; Yersiniaceae
Description: transfer RNA Alanine
Rfam family: tRNA
About the family: Transfer RNA (tRNA) molecules are approximately 80 nucleotides in length. Their secondary structure includes four short double-helical elements and three loops (D, anti-codon, and T loops).
Source: RNAcentral
GGGGCUGUAGCUCAGAUGGGAGAGCGCCUGCCUUGCACGCAGGAGGUCAGCGGUUCGAUCCCGCUUAGCUCCACCA